CGUGCACUGAAUCAGAUUUGUCAUGAAUCUGUCUAGAAACAGCUUCUUUAUAAUCUGACUGAGCUACGCUGAGGAUAACCGAAUACAAUACAUAGACGAAGGCAGACACAAAACCACAGGUUGCACAGAAGGUCCACAAAUUACUGGUAAUAUGGAAAAGAAGCCGUCAAAUCUAUAAAAAAAAAUCACUGCAGGAUUCAACCUAAUACCUGGGCACAAGUUAGUUGCUGAAGAUGAAAUGAUGAAGCAGCUUGUUCAAACAUUCAAAUCCAAUCUGUGGAUCCGGUGUCUAGUCAGGUCCUGUGGGUGGUUCCCAUCAUCCUACACUGACACUCCCACCUGCUCUUCUGCUUCAGCCUCACCAGACGUGUGGUUUCUAACAGAACAUGGCCAUCGCCAUGCGCCUCCUCCUCCUCCUGUCCACCGUUCUGUGUCGCACUGAUGGAAGCGACGUGGACCAGCCCGACGCGCUGCUGAAGGCCCAGGGAGACGAUGCAACCAUCCCCUGCAGCCACACGAAGGGUGCAACCUACUACCAGAUGUACUGGUACCGACAGCUGCCUGGAGAAACCAUGCGUCAAAUGCUGUUUGUGUUCGAAGGCAAAGAGCCUGAGUACGAAGCUGGAUUCAUCAAAGACAAAUACCCGGUGACCAAAGCCAACGCUCUGAGCGGGACACUGACUGUGGCGGCUGCAGAGCCGGGAGAUAACGGCUGGUAUUUCUGUGCUGUCAGUGAGCACAGUGACACAAUUACCUCAGCAGCUGAACAAAAAGUCAGAUGA
Betta splendens (Siamese fighting fish) is the source of this 782-nucleotide non-coding RNA. NCBI's taxonomy places the organism in Eukaryota, Metazoa, Chordata, Actinopteri, Anabantiformes, Osphronemidae. The record is from the annotation of a RefSeq genome assembly.